AGAGGGGAGGAGAAGCAAAAUGGCUGCUGACGUAUACCCGAGUUUUAUUUUCCAGCCACAAGUAGCCUUGAUUUCAUAAGAGUUUGUCCCUUUGGACUUUUCUCCUGCCACACUCUGUAUCCAGGGAAAACAAGAGGCGACUUGCCUAGAAACAGCUCUGUCAACAGUGCCCGCCACCUCCACCUCCUCUGCUGGAAACGAAACAGGUAAAAGCAUCAGUGAGCAGCUGGACCUGUCACGUGACCACAGCACCCGGUGGAGACAAGUGGUGACAAUCAGUCACAUAGGGGCAGUGCCCCAAGCCCCUCCACAGGCAGUGAGGCAUCCCUAACAUCUUAGACCAAGCCAGUAGAAAGCAUCUGCUGUCAGACCCCAACCCACCGCAAAAUGUACGUAAGAACCUGUUCAGAAGGAGUAAAGUUGUGAGAAUUACUCCAUCAAGGGUUUUCUGAGAACUUCUGUCUUAUAGGAGCUGUAACACUUCCUGGGGAAGAGAAUUCUCUCUUCCCUUUGCUGCUGGAAGCUGUCCGGGCCAACCAACCACACUCACUGGUUCCUAGCCACACACCCUCCCCCAGGGCUGGCUGUUUUGCAGCAUCUCACAGCUUCCGACCUACUCCAGAGUUGCUUUGGCGGCUUGAGCUGACUGCAGUGCCUAGCUGAGUAACAGCAGCCACAGAAGAGAGCAGCAACUGCCUCAAUCCAACUUCCCUCUCCCUUCGGAGAGUGCAACUCCUUGACUGAUCCAGCUGGGCCAGAGCCUUCCCCCACCCCCAUCUCCGUGGUUAGCAUCCAGUAUACAGACUGGCAAAUAUAUAUAUUUAUCAAGUU
RNAcentral lists this long non-coding RNA (831 nucleotides) under Mus musculus (house mouse). RNAcentral describes it as "RIKEN cDNA 4933404K13 gene (4933404K13Rik)". The record is from RNAcentral. Lineage: Eukaryota; Metazoa; Chordata; Mammalia; Rodentia; Muridae.